CCUACGGGAGGCAGCAGUGAGGAAUAUUGGUCAAUGGUCGGGAGACUGAACCAGCCAAGCCGCGUGAGGGAGGAAGGUACAGAGUAUCGUAAACCUCUUUUGUCAGGGGACAUAGACUGCGACGCGUCCCCGGAUGAGUGUACCUGAAGAAAAAGCAUCGGCUAACUCCGUGCCAGCAGCCGCGGUAAUCCGGGGGAUGCGAGCGUUGUCCGGAUUUAUUGGGUUUAAAGGGUCCGCAGGCGGGCUGUUAAGUCAGCGGACAAAGCCCGGGGCCAACCCCCGGCGCGCCGUUGAAACUGGCAGUCUCGAGUGGGAGAGAAGUAUGCGGAAUGCGCGGUGUAGCGGUGAAAUGCAUAGAUAUCGCGCAGAACUCCGAUUGCGAAGGCAGCAUGCCGGCUCCACACUGACGCUGAGGCACGAAAGCGUGGGUAUCGAACAGGAUUAGAUACCCUGGUAGUC
This 459-nucleotide ribosomal RNA is filed under the name uncultured bacterium. Its description in RNAcentral is "partial 16S ribosomal RNA". It matches the Rfam family "Bacterial small subunit ribosomal RNA", at positions 338 to 795 of the family's 1533-position model. The record is from RNAcentral.